CAAAUCAACUUGUGUUGCUGC
RNAcentral lists this non-coding RNA (21 nucleotides) under Arabidopsis thaliana (thale cress). Lineage: Eukaryota; Viridiplantae; Streptophyta; Magnoliopsida; Brassicales; Brassicaceae. The record is from RNAcentral.